ACGGUGGCAUCGAUGGCGGCGUGGUCUGAGCAGGGCCAUGGUGGAGGAGGAGGACAAGCGUUGGUGUCGCAUGGUGAUAUCCAGAACGGAGAUGGGACGACGCCGUGUCCCAGUAGCGGAGGAGCCAUGGAUGGUGGUGGCCGGCGGGUACAGAUCCACAUCAUAGAGUGCAGGUUGAGGCGCUCGUGUGACCUUGGAAGGCGGGGAGCCAUGGAGGGAUGGUGGUCGGAGGCCUCAAAAGCAGAGGGAUUGGGCGGCGCAGAAGGAAAGGAUAAGGAGAUCUGGGGGGAUUGGAUUUGGGCGUGCGCG
This 309-nucleotide ribosomal RNA is filed under the name Triticum aestivum (bread wheat). Its description in RNAcentral is "partial small subunit ribosomal RNA". Lineage: Eukaryota; Viridiplantae; Streptophyta; Magnoliopsida; Poales; Poaceae. The record is from RNAcentral.